GGGGUCCUACGGGGGGCAGCAGUGGGGAAUAUUGGGCAAUGGGCGCAAGCCUGACCCAGCAACGCCGCGUGAAGGAAGAAGGCUUUCGGGUUGUAAACUUCUUUUCUCAGGGACGAAGAAAGUGACGGUACCUGAGGAAUAAGCCACGGCUAACUACGUGCCAGCAGCCGCGGUAAUACGUAGGUGGCAAGCGUUAUCCGGAUUUAUUGGGUUUAAAGGGUGCGUAGGCGGAAUGCCAAGUCAGCGGUAAAAUCGCGGGGCUCAACCUCGCUCCGCCGUUGAAACUGGCGUUCUUGAGUGGGCGG
RNAcentral lists this ribosomal RNA (305 nucleotides) under uncultured bacterium. RNAcentral's name for it is "bacterial SSU rRNA". It matches the Rfam family "Bacterial small subunit ribosomal RNA", at positions 333 to 653 of the family's 1533-position model. The record is from RNAcentral.